This is a non-coding RNA of Bacillus sp. FJAT-22058, 137 nucleotides long. Lineage: Bacteria; Bacillati; Bacillota; Bacilli; Caryophanales; Bacillaceae. The record is from Rfam.
GUCUAUCUUCGGGGCGGGGCGCAAUUCCCCACCGGCGGUGAUGAAGGAAUUUCUACUUCUAAGCCCGCGAGCCUUACAAGGCAGGAUUUGGUGUGAUUCCAAAGCCGACAGUAUAGUCUGGAUGGGAGAAGAUGGAG